AGGAUCAUUACAGUAGUUUGGGGGGUUGGAUGCUGGCCCGUGAGGGCAUGUGCGCGCCCCCCUCAUUUCUAAUCCCUCUCACACACACCUGUGCACCUAUGGAGAGCGCCUCCCGUUUGGAGACGUCCGACCCCGGUCGGGCUGAGGCGUUCCCUCCUUUUGCAUUUACAACACCGAUAGAAAAACCGCAUGUCUUUUUUGAGCUUUUAUGUCAUAACAACUUUCAACAACGGAUCUCUUGGCUUUUGCAUCGAUGAAGAACGCCGCGAAAGUGCGAAACGUAAUGUGAAUUGCAGAAUUCAGUGAAUCAUCGAAUCUUUGAACGCAUCUUGCGCUCCUUGGUAUUCCGAGGAGCAUGCCUGUUUGAGUGUCGUGAACCCUCCUCGACCUCCCCUUUCCCCCCCUCUAAGAAGAGGGGGGGCAACGGGAGGUUGGAUUUGGACGUUGCGGGUUGUGUCCGCUCGUCUUUAAAUGCAUUAGCUUGGCCCCCCUUUGAGUCGGUCCGAUCGCGGUGUGAUAAACAAACGCUUGUGGCGCCGUUUGGGUCGACUUCAGAUCUGGGUCGCUUAUAGCCCCAUAACGAUACAUGUCAUCUGACCUCAAAUCAGGUAGGAUUACCCGCUGA
This 625-nucleotide ribosomal RNA is filed under the name Ramaria sp. KD-14-006. RNAcentral describes it as "eukaryotic LSU rRNA". The stretch from base 219 to 373 matches the Rfam family "5.8S ribosomal RNA". Lineage: Eukaryota; Fungi; Basidiomycota; Agaricomycetes; Gomphales; Gomphaceae. The record is from RNAcentral.